RNAcentral lists this ribosomal RNA (460 nucleotides) under uncultured bacterium. RNAcentral's name for it is "partial 16S ribosomal RNA". It matches the Rfam family "Bacterial small subunit ribosomal RNA", at positions 338 to 795 of the family's 1533-position model. The record is from RNAcentral.
CCUACGGGUGGCAGCAGUGAGGAAUAUUGGUCAAUGGGCGCGAGCUUGAACCAGCCAAGUAGCGUGAAGGAUGACUGCCCUACGGGUUGUAAACUUCUUUUAUAAAGGAAUAAAGUGAGGCACGUGUGCCUUUUUGUAUGUACUUUAUGAAUAAGGAUCGGCUAACUCCGUGCCAGCAGCCGCGGUAAUACGGAGGAUCCGAGCUUUAUCCGGAUGUAUUGGGUUUAAAGGGAGCGUAGAUGGGUUGUUAAGUCAGUUGUGAAAGUUUGCGUGUCAAUCGGUGAAUUGCAGUUGAUACUGGAAGCCUUGAGUACAGUUGAGGUAGGCGGAAUGCGUGGUGUAGCGGUGAAAUGCAUAGAUAUCACGAAGAACUCCGAUUGCGAAGGCAGCCUACUGGACUGCCACUGACGUUGAUGCUCGAAAGCGUGGGUAGCAAACAGGAUUAGAUACCCUAGUAGUC